GACGAACGCUGGCGGCGUGCUUAACACAUGCAAGUCGAACGGAAAGGCCCUGCUUUUGUGGGGUGCUCGAGUGGCGAACGGGUGAGUAACACGUGAGUAACCUGCCCUUGACUUUGGGAUAACUUCAGGAAACUGGGGCUAAUACCGGAUAGGAGCUCCUGCUGCAUGGUGGGGGUUGGAAAGUUUCGGCGGUUGGGGAUGUACUCGCGGCUUAUCAGCUUGUUGGUGGGGUAGUGUCUUACCAAGGCUUUGACGGGUAGCCGGCCUGAGAGGGUGACCGGCCAAAUUGGGACUGAGAUACGGCCCAGACUCCUACGGGAGGCAGCAGUGGGGAAUAUUGCACAAUGGGCGGAAGCCUGAUGCAGCAACGCCGCGUGCGGGAUGACGGCCUUCGGGUUGUAAACCGCUUUCGCCUGUGACGAAGCGUGAGUGACGGUAAUGGGUAAAGAAGCACCGGCUAACUACGUG
RNAcentral lists this ribosomal RNA (468 nucleotides) under uncultured bacterium. RNAcentral describes it as "partial 16S ribosomal RNA". It matches the Rfam family "Bacterial small subunit ribosomal RNA", at positions 28 to 507 of the family's 1533-position model. The record is from RNAcentral.